UACGGGGGGGGCAAGCGUUGUUCGGAAUUACUGGGCGUAAAGGGCUCGUAGGUGGCCAACUAAGUCCGACGUGAAAUCCCAAGGCUUAACCUUGGAACUGCGUCGGAUACUGGAUGGCUUGAAUUCGGGAGAGGGAUGCAGAAUUCCAGGUGUAGCGGUGAAAUGCGUAGAUAUCUGGAGGAAUACCGGUGGCGAAGGCGGCAUCCUGGACCGACAUUGACGCUGAUGAGCGAAAGCUAGGGGAGCAAACGGG
This 253-nucleotide ribosomal RNA is filed under the name uncultured bacterium. Its description in RNAcentral is "partial 16S ribosomal RNA". It matches the Rfam family "Bacterial small subunit ribosomal RNA", at positions 524 to 776 of the family's 1533-position model. The record is from RNAcentral.